This 119-nucleotide small nucleolar RNA is filed under the name Zalophus californianus (California sea lion). RNAcentral describes it as "Small nucleolar RNA U3 (ENSZCAG00015007945.1)". It matches the Rfam family "Small nucleolar RNA U3", at positions 89 to 214 of the family's 219-position model. From Rfam's summary of the family: Small nucleolar RNAs (snoRNAs) are involved in the processing and modification of rRNA in the nucleolus. There are two main classes of snoRNAs: the box C/D class, and the box H/ACA class. The record is from RNAcentral. Lineage: Eukaryota; Metazoa; Chordata; Mammalia; Carnivora; Otariidae. RNAcentral also lists the same sequence under 1 other name.
GGUUCAGUUCUCUCUCCUGAGCAUGAAACUGGCUCUAGGUGUUGUUUCUGCAACUGCCCAUUGCCCCUGAUGAUCGUUCUUCUCCUCUGGGGGAGUAAGAAGAGGAGGACAUAGUCUGA